Molecule: ribosomal RNA, 1449 nt
Filed under: uncultured organism
Description: SSU rRNA
Rfam family: Bacterial small subunit ribosomal RNA
Source: RNAcentral
CUACAGGCUUAACACAUGCAAGUCGAGGGGCAGCAUGGUCUUAGCUUGCUAAGGCCGAUGGCGACCGGCGCACGGGUGAGUAACACGUAUCCAACCUGCCGUCUACUCUUGGACAGCCUUCUGAAAGGAAGAUUAAUACAAGAUGGCAUCAUGAGUCCACAUGUUCACAUGAUUAAAGGUAUUCCGGUAGACGAUGGGGAUGCGUUCCAUUAGAUAGUAGGCGGGGUAACGGCCCACCUAGUCUUCGAUGGAUAGGGGUUCUGAGAGGAAGGUCCCCCACAUUGGAACUGAGACACGGUCCAAACUCCUACGGGAGGCAGCAGUGAGGAAUAUUGGUCAAUGGGCGAGAGCCUGAACCAGCCAAGUAGCGUGAAGGAUGACUGCCCUAUGGGUUGUAAACUUCUUUUAUAAAGGAAUAAAGUCGGGUAUGCAUACCCGUUUGCAUGUACUUUAUGAAUAAGGAUCGGCUAACUCCGUGCCAGCAGCCGCGGUAAUACGGAGGAUCCGAGCGUUAUCCGGAUUUAUUGGGUUUAAAGGGAGCGUAGAUGGAUGUUUAAGUCAGUUGUGAAAGUUUGCGGCUCAACCGUAAAAUUGCAGUUGAUACUGGAUAUCUUGAGUGCAGUUGAGGCAGGCGGAAUUCGUGGUGUAGCGGUGAAAUGCUUAGAUAUCACGAAGAACUCCGAUUGCGAAGGCAGCCUGCUAAGCUGCAACUGACAUUGAGGCUCGAAAGUGUGGGUAUCAAACAGGAUUAGAUACCCUGGUAGUCCACACGGUAAACGAUGAAUACUCGCUGUUUGCGAUAUACAGCAAGCGGCCAAGCGAAAGCGUUAAGUAUUCCACCUGGGGAGUACGCCGGCAACGGUGAAACUCAAAGGAAUUGACGGGGGCCCGCACAAGCGGAGGAACAUGUGGUUUAAUUCGAUGAUACGCGAGGAACCUUACCCGGGCUUAAAUUGCAGAUGAAUUACGGUGAAAGCCGUAAGCCGCAAGGCAUCUGUGAAGGUGCUGCAUGGUUGUCGUCAGCUCGUGCCGUGAGGUGUCGGCUUAAGUGCCAUAACGAGCGCAACCCUUGUUGUCAGUUACUAACAGGUCAUGCUGAGGACUCUGACAAGACUGCCAUCGUAAGAUGUGAGGAAGGUGGGGAUGACGUCAAAUCAGCACGGCCCUUACGUCCGGGGCUACACACGUGUUACAAUGGGGGGUACAGAGGGCCGCUACCACGCGAGUGGAUGCCAAUCCCAAAAACCUCUCUCAGUUCGGACUGGAGUCUGCAACCCGACUCCACGAAGCUGGAUUCGCUAGUAAUCGCGCAUCAGCCACGGCGCGGUGAAUACUUUCCCGGGCCUUGUACACACCGCCCGUCAAGCCAUGGGAGCCGGGGGUACCUGAAGUGCGUAACCGCGAGGAGCGCCCUAGGGUAAAACUGGUGACUGGGGCUAAGUCAUAACA